GGGACACGUGGUAUCCUGUCUGAAUAUGGGGGGACCAUCCUCCAAGGCUAAAUACUCCUGACUGACCGAUAGUGAACCAGUACCGUGAGGGAAAGGCGAAAAGAACCCCGGCGAGGGGAGUGAAAAAGAACCUGAAACCGUGUACGUACAAGCAGUGGGAGCCUCUUUAUGGGGUGACUGCGUACCUUUUGUAUAAUGGGUCAGCGACUUAUAUUCUGUAGCAAGGUUAACCGAAUAGGGGAGCCGAAGGGAAACCGAGUCUUAACUGGGCGUUAAGUUGCAGGGUAUAGACCCGAAACCCGGUGAUCUAGCCAUGGGCAGGUUGAAGGUUGGGUAACACUAACUGGAGGACCGAACCGACUAAUGUUGAAAAAUUAGCGGAUGACUUGUGGCUGGGGGUGAAAGGCCAAUCAAACCGGGAGAUAGCUGGUUCUCCCCGAAAGCUAUUUAGGUAGCGCCUCGUGAAUUCAUCUCCGGGGGUAGAGCACUGUUUCGGCAAGGGGGUCAUCCCGACUUACCAACCCGAUGCAAACUGCGAAUACCGGAGAAUGUUAUCACGGGAGACACACGGCGGGUGCUAACGUCCGUCGUGAAGAGGGAAACAACCCAGACCGCCAGCUAAGGUCCCAAAGUCAUGGUUAAGUGGGAAACGAUGUGGGAAGGCCCAGACAGCCAGGAUGUUGGCUUAGAAGCAGCCAUCAUUUAAAGAAAGCGUAAUAGCUCACUGGUCGAGUCGGCCUGCGCGGAAGAUGUAACGGGGCUAAACCAUGCACCGAAGCUGCGGCAGCGACACUAAGUGUUGUUGGGUAGGGGAGCGUUCUGUAAGCCUGUGAAGGUGUACUGUGAGGUAUGCUGGAGGUAUCAGAAGUGCGAAUGCUGACAUAAGUAACGAUAAAGCGGGUGAAAAGCCCGCUCGCCGGAAGACCAAGGGUUCCUGUCCAACGUUAAUCGGGGCAGGGUGAGUCGACCCCUAAGGCGAGGCCGAAAGGCGUAGUCGAUGGGAAACAGGUUAAUAUUCCUGUACUUGGUGUUACUGCGAAGGGGGGACGGAGAAGGCUAUGUUGGCCGGGCGACGGUUGUCCCGGUUUAAGCGUGUAGGCUGGUUUUCCAGGCAAAUCCGGAAAAUCAAGGCUGAGGCGUGAUGACGAGGCACUACGGUGCUGAAGCAACAAAUGCCCUGCUUCCAGGAAAAGCCUCUAAGCAUCAGGUAACAUCAAAUCGUACCCCAAACCGACACAGGUGGUCAGGUAGAGAAUACCAAGGCGCUUGAGAGAACUCGGGUGAAGGAACUAGGCAAAAUGGUGCCGUAACUUCGGGAGAAGGCACGCUGAUAUGUAGGUGAAGCGACUUGCUCGUGGAGCUGAAAUCAGUCGAAGAUACCAGCUGGCUGCAACUGUUUAUUAAAAACACAGCACUGUGCAAACACGAAAGUGGACGUAUACGGUGUGACGCCUGCCCGGUGCCGGAAGGUUAAUUGAUGGGGUUAGCGCAAGCGAAGCUCUUGAUCGAAGCCCCGGUAAACGGCGGCCGUAACUAUAACGGUCCUAAGGUAGCGAAAUUCCUUGUCGGGUAAGUUCCGACCUGCACGAAUGGCGUAAUGAUGGCCAGGCUGUCUCCACCCGAGACUCAGUGAAAUUGAACUCGCUGUGAAGAUGCAGUGUACCCGCGGCAAGACGGAAAGACCCCGUGAACCUUUACUAUAGCUUGACACUGAACAUUGAGCCUUGAUGUGUAGGAUAGGUGGGAGGCUUUGAAGUGUGGACGCCAGUCUGCAUGGAGCCGACCUUGAAAUACCACCCUUUAAUGUUUGAUG
This 1813-nucleotide ribosomal RNA is filed under the name Escherichia coli. RNAcentral describes it as "partial 23S ribosomal RNA". It matches the Rfam family "Bacterial large subunit ribosomal RNA", at positions 419 to 2219 of the family's 2925-position model. Lineage: Bacteria; Pseudomonadati; Pseudomonadota; Gammaproteobacteria; Enterobacterales; Enterobacteriaceae. The record is from RNAcentral.